CCUACGGGUGGCAGCAGUGAGGGAUAUUGGUCAAUGGGGGAAACCCUGAACCAGCAACGCCGCGUGAGGGAAGACGGUUUUCGGAUUGUAAACCUCUGUCUUCUGGGAAGUUGAUGACGGUAGCAGAGGAGGAAGCUCAGGCUAACUACGGGCCAGCAGCCGCGGUAAUACGGAGGGAGCAAGCGUUGUACGGAUUUACUGGGUGUAAAGGGUGCGUAGGCGGCUUUGCAAGUCAGAAGUGAAAUCCAUGGGCUUAACCCAUGAACUGCUUUUGAUACUGCAGAGCUUGAGAGUAGUAGAGGUAGGCGGAAUGUCCGGUGUAGCGGUGAAAUGCGUAGAGAUCAUAAGGAACACCAGUGGCGAAGGCGGCCUGCUGGGCUCUAACUGACGUUGAGGCACGAAAGCGUGGGUAGCAAACAGGAUUAGAUACCCUGGUAGUC
Molecule: ribosomal RNA, 440 nt
Filed under: uncultured bacterium
Lineage: Bacteria
Description: partial 16S ribosomal RNA
Rfam family: Bacterial small subunit ribosomal RNA
Source: RNAcentral